This 75-nucleotide transfer RNA is filed under the name Clostridia bacterium. Its description in RNAcentral is "tRNA-Arg". It matches the Rfam family "tRNA". From Rfam's summary of the family: Transfer RNA (tRNA) molecules are approximately 80 nucleotides in length. Their secondary structure includes four short double-helical elements and three loops (D, anti-codon, and T loops). Further hydrogen bonds mediate the characteristic L-shaped molecular structure. tRNAs have two regions of fundamental functional importance: the anti-codon, which is responsible for specific mRNA codon recognition, and the 3' end, to which the tRNAs corresponding amino acid is attached (by aminoacyl-tRNA synthetases). tRNAs cope with the degeneracy of the genetic code in two manners: having more than one tRNA (with a specific anti-codon) for a particular amino acid; and 'wobble' base-pairing, i.e. permitting non-standard base-pairing at the 3rd anti-codon position. The record is from RNAcentral. Lineage: Bacteria; Bacillati; Bacillota; Clostridia.
GCCGCCGAAGCUCAAACGGAUGAGCGCCGGGACCGACUCGCCCGGGGGAUGCAGGUUCGAGCCCUGCCGGCGGCC